RNAcentral lists this ribosomal RNA (292 nucleotides) under uncultured bacterium. RNAcentral describes it as "partial 16S ribosomal RNA". It matches the Rfam family "Bacterial small subunit ribosomal RNA", at positions 505 to 796 of the family's 1533-position model. The record is from RNAcentral.
GUGUCAGCAGCCGCGGUAAUACAGAGGUCCCGAGCGUUGUUCGGAUUCACUGGGCGUAAAGGGUGCGUAGGUGGUGAGGUAAGUCGGAUGUGAAAUUCUGGAGCUUAACUCCGGAACGGCAUUGGAAACUACCUUGCUUGAGGUUUGGAGGGGGGACUGGAAUUCUCGGUGUAGCAGUGAAAUGCGUAGAUAUCGAGAGGAACACCAGUGGCGAAGGCGAGUCCCUGGACAACACCUGACACUGAGGCACGAAAGCUAGGGGAGCAAACAGGAUUAGAAACCCCCGUAGUCC